This is a non-coding RNA of Xenopus laevis (African clawed frog), 114 nucleotides long. The record is from Rfam. NCBI's taxonomy places the organism in Eukaryota, Metazoa, Chordata, Amphibia, Anura, Pipidae.
GUAGGAUACGGCGACAUGCAUCCGGUCACCAUUGGGGGGAAGAUCGUGGGUUCCCUGUGCGCCAUCGCCGGGGUGUUAACCAUAGCCCUGCCAGUUCCUGUCAUAGUGUCCAAC